GAUGAACGCUGGCGGCGUGCUUAACACAUGCAAGUCGAACGAUGAAGCCCAGCUUGCUGGGUGGAUUAGUGGCGAACGGGUGAGUAACACGUGAGUAAACUGCCCUUAACUCUGGGAUAAGCCUGGGAAACUGGGUCUAAUACCGGAUAGGAGAGUCCACCGCAUGGUGGGUGUUGGAGAGAUUUAUCGGUUUUGGAUGGACUCGCGGCCUAUCAGCUUGUUGGUGAGGUAAUGGCUCACCAAGGCGACGACGGGUAGCCGGCCUGAGAGGGGGACCGGCCACACUGGGACUGAGACACGGCCCAGUCUCCUACGGGAGGCAGCAGUGGGGAAUAUUGCACAAUGGGCGCAAGCCUGAUGCAGCGACGCCGCGUGUGUGAUGACGGCCUUCGGGUUGUAAACCUCUUUCAGUAGGGAAGAAGCGAAAGUGACGGUACCUGCAGAAGAAGCACCGGCUAACUACGUG
RNAcentral lists this ribosomal RNA (466 nucleotides) under uncultured bacterium. RNAcentral's name for it is "partial 16S ribosomal RNA". It matches the Rfam family "Bacterial small subunit ribosomal RNA", at positions 28 to 507 of the family's 1533-position model. The record is from RNAcentral.